GAUUUUUGGAAGGUGCGAGCUCGGAUGCGGAGACAAGACGGUGCCGUUGCCAAAGAGAGCUUGCCCCAACGGUACUAUGCACAAUCCCUGCACCGAAGAAGAGCUCAAGCACCUCCAAAAGUGGGCUAAGGACUUGUAAAACAAGAA
This is a long non-coding RNA of Ixodes scapularis (black-legged tick), 147 nucleotides long. RefSeq lists it as uncharacterized. The record is from RefSeq and is a predicted model, not a curated record. The transcript has 2 exons. NCBI's taxonomy places the organism in Eukaryota, Metazoa, Arthropoda, Arachnida, Ixodida, Ixodidae.